ACCUGGGACAGCUGGGGACGCAGA
RNAcentral lists this non-coding RNA (24 nucleotides) under Cricetulus griseus (Chinese hamster). Lineage: Eukaryota; Metazoa; Chordata; Mammalia; Rodentia; Cricetidae. The record is from RNAcentral.